This 3677-nucleotide long non-coding RNA is filed under the name Sus scrofa (pig). RNAcentral describes it as "lncRNA (ENSSSCG00005035031.1)". Lineage: Eukaryota; Metazoa; Chordata; Mammalia; Artiodactyla; Suidae. The record is from RNAcentral.
UUUAGGUGGAGGGUUAAGUUGUCAAUUUGGGAUCUUUCUUCUUUUUUGAGAAAGGCCUGUAUUGCUAUAAAUUUCCCUCUGAGCACUGCUUUCGCAGCAUCCCAUAGAUUUUGAGAGGUUGUGUCUUCAUUAUCAUUUGUUUCAAGGUAGUUUUUAAUUUCCUUCUUGAUUUCCUCAUUGACCCAUUGGUUUUUUAGUAGCAUGCUGUUUAGUCUCCAUGUAGUAGGUUUUUUCUCAUUUCUUUUCCCAUGGUUGAUUUCUAAUUUCAUGGUGUUGUGGUCAGAGAAGAUACUUGAGAUAAUUUCUAUGCUCCUAAAUUUGUUGAGGUUAGCUUUGUGUCCCAAUAUGUGAUUGAUUCUUGAGAAUGUUCCAUGUGCACUUGAGAAGAAUGUGUAUUCUGACUUUUUUGGAUGUAGUGUCCUGAAGAUAUCAAUUAAGUCUAACUUUUCCUUCCUUUACUUUAGGAUCUCUGUUGCUUUAUUGGUUUUCUGUCUAGAGGAUCUGUCCAUUGGUGUGAGGGGGGUAUUAAAGUCUCCUACUAUGAUUGUAUUCCCAUCAAUUUCUCCCUUAAUGUCUGUUAGUAUUUGUUGUAUGUAUCUGGUGCGCCUGCAUUUGAGGCAUAUAUGUUGAUGAUAGUAAUAUCCUCUCCUUGGAUGGAUCCCUUAAUCAUUAAAUAGUGUCCUUCUUUGUCUUUAUGUCUUUGGUUUUAAAGUCUAUUUUGUACAGACUUUAUUCUUAAUUGCAGAGAUGUAUUUACAAAACACUCAGCUAUUAUUUCACUUAAUACUUCUAAUUUUGUGGAAAAUUUCAAUUCAGUGAGAUAAUUCAACAUCAAAGCUGAGAAUCAACACAAUUCUUUCAAAUCUAAGUUGAGAAUAAUGAGGCAAAGAAAUUAAGAAAGCAAAAUUUGGCUUGUCAUGAAUGACUCAUAAAAGAGAAAGCUAAGUCGUGAAUAAUCCAAACAUUUUAAAAAUUAGAUAACUGAAAGAAUAGCAUGAAAGAACUAUAAGGACAUUGAGCAUGGGGAAACUGGUAUAGGGGCAGAAAAUCACUAACUUCUCAUCUAUGCUUGGCCAUCAUGCAGCAAAAAUAAGUAAACAAGCAAGUAAGCAAAUAAACAAGCCCAAUUAUCCUCCUCAAACCAACAUGUCAAGGGAAGAUUCUACCAGAGAGGGAAUGAAGAACUAAGAUAUGCCCAAGUUAGAUGAACUGACUCAACAUUCCACAACCAGUGAGAUAUCCAAAGUGCCAGCCUCAGAGACCUCCCGAGAUAAUUACAAAAAUCAGGCAUCAAGACAUUAAAGGUGAAGCGAAAUGUUCUAUGGGCAGGAAACAGAACUGGAGUCAUGAUUAUAAGGCAGGAUUUGAGUUUUUCUGUUAUGGACCUAAAGCUGAACAGGACAAACUGCCUUCAAGGAUCUUACAGCCUACUUCCUAAGUAUCUUUGGAUUCCAUCCCCACUGCCAAUAUCCUAAUAUAGGCAACCAUUACUUUCUGUUUGGAUUUACCCAAGAGGCUUUUUUACGGUCUCUAACCUUUAAAAUGGUUUUCCUUCCUUCUAAUUUAUUCCUUAUACAACAUGCUCUAGAGAAAGAUACAAACGUUAUUAUAAUAGUAUGGGUAAGUGCUAGAGACGGGAACCAAAGGAUGCUAUGGAAGCACUGAGGAGGCACUGAAGGCUAAUUCUGGAGGGUCAGCGAACGUUUUGUGGAGGAAGUAACAAGCUAUCAUUUGAAGGAAUUUUCCAGGCAAAGUAAGAGAAAAGAAGGAUUUGGGGCAGAAGGAACACUAUGAGCAAGAGCCAAAAGGCACAGUAUGAGAGUAAAUUUGGUGAACUGACAUUAGCUCAGCAAGGCAAGAGCUUCAAGUUCAAAGAAGAAUAAGAGUUUUUAAAAUGAAGCUUAAGAUCUCAGAAAGAACAGCAUAGGCAAUGACUUGAAAGUAAAGUUUAAGGGCUGAAAAUUUUCCCAAGGCUGAUUAGGGAGGCAAUGAAGAAAAUCAGGUUAGUGGCAUGAACAGAUUUUUCACUCAGAGUGACAGCAAAUGCCAAAUAAAUCAAUGAGUCUCCUAAGAAGAGCAUAUAUACAGAAUAAGCAAGAAGUUGAUGGACUCCUGGGAAAUAAAAAUAAUAAACUCUACUUAGACCAAGUUUCACUAAUAUCACAACAAAAACAUCCAUAAUACAUACAUAUCUUGUGUAUCUAUUCAGCCUUAGUUCAAAAAAUAAGAGCUCUGACAGCAAAGUUAUCAAAAUCUAUCUGGUUUCUGAGUUUGGGUAUCAAGAGUUCUGGUAGCAAGAGGUAAUUGUCCCUCAAGUUCUUUUUUUUCUUUUUACCACUGCACUUGCAGCACAUGGAAGUUCCUGGGCCAGAGGAUGAACUGGAGCUGUGGCUGAGGCCUACAUCACAGCCACAGCAACAGUGGUUCUGAGCGGCAUCUGCCUAUGCCACAGCUUGCAUCAACACCGACAGGAUUUGAGUUUUCCUUAACCCACUGAACAAGGCCUGGGAUUAAACCCACAUCCUCAGAGAAACAAUGUUGGGUGCUUAACCCAGUAAGCCACACAACAGGAACUCCGCAAACUCAUAUUUUUAAAAAAACUUUCUAUUUGGAAAUAAUUUUAGACUUGGAGAAAAGCUGUAAAAUAUCAGAGAGUAUCUGUAUAUACUUUCAUUCAAUUUCCCCCCUAAUAAUAUGUUAUAUAAUUAGAAUACAAGUAUUGAAAUCAGAAUAAUAACACUGACAGAAAACUAUUAAUUUACUCGACAGACCUUAUUCAAAUUCCUGAAACAAACAGUUUCCCACUAAUGUCCUCUUUCCUGGUCGAGGAUACAAUUUAGGAUUUCAUAUUGCAUUGUCAUGUUUGCAUACUCUCCUCUAAUCUGUGACAGUUCCUCAUUUUUUGUCUCUCAUGGCCUUUAUCCUUUUGAAGAGUACUGAUCAGUUAUUUUGUACAAUGACCAUCAAUUUAGAUUUACCUUAUGUUUCUCAUCGUUAGAUUACAUGUAUUGAACUUAAUGCAUUUUUGGCAUGAACACCACAGAAGGGAAACUGUGCCCUUCACAGUGCAUCAUAAUCAGGGUAUAAAUGAUGUUGAUACAUCUUAUAAUUAGUGAUUUUUUACUUCAAUUACUUGGUGAAGGUGGUGUCUGCCAUGUUUUUUCUAUAUAGUUACUGUUGUAUAAACAUACUAGAGUAGCCAGAGAAAGAACUGGCUGGAACUACUCUAGUUCUAUAAAUAGACUUGCCAGACAGGUCCACUCCUACCAGACAUUAAUACAUGCACUAUAAAACUUCUACAAUUAAAAUUGUGCUACUGCCACAUGAAUAAUCAGAGCAGUGGAAUAGAAAUCUCAGUCAACUAUUUCUUCAAGGAUCCUUGGUUCCUUUUUCUGGAGAACGGUAUUUAGAGAACAUCUGGGCACUAAUGUCUUCACUGUGACUAAGGUCUCACUGCUCUCUGUCCCUCUCAGGAUAGAAUACAUGUGUGUAUGCAUGGUAAUGUACACAUUCAAACACCUAUGUUUCUGAAGUCUGCAUCUGCAUGUAUAUUAAAAAUCAUGGAUUUAUAUGCAUAGGAAAUAGUUCAUUCUAGUUUAUUCAUUUAUCUGUAACUUCCUUAUCCAACUGAGAAGAAUUAAACUCAUUGUCUACAAUAUAUUCACUAUUUGCUCAAA